This 487-nucleotide ribosomal RNA is filed under the name uncultured Burkholderia sp. RNAcentral describes it as "bacterial SSU rRNA". It matches the Rfam family "Bacterial small subunit ribosomal RNA", at positions 488 to 975 of the family's 1533-position model. The record is from RNAcentral. Lineage: Bacteria; Pseudomonadati; Pseudomonadota; Betaproteobacteria; Burkholderiales; Burkholderiaceae.
AAGCCCCGGCUAACUUCGUGCCAGCAGCCGCGGUAAUACGUAGGGUGCAAGCGUUAAUCGGAAUUACUGGGCGUAAAGCGUGCGCAGGCGGUUUUGUAAGACUGUCGUGAAAUCCCCGGGCUCAACCUGGGAAUGGCGAUGGUGACUGCAAGGCUAGAGUUUGGCAGAGGGGGGUAGAAUUCCACGUGUAGCAGUGAAAUGCGUAGAUAUGUGGAGGAACACCGAUGGCGAAGGCAGCCCCCUGGGUCAAAACUGACGCUCAUGCACGAAAGCGUGGGGAGCAAACAGGAUUAGAUACCCUGGUAGUCCACGCCCUAAACGAUGUCUACUAGUUGUCGGGUCUUAAUUGACUUGGUAACGCAGCUAACGCGUGAAGUAGACCGCCUGGGGAGUACGGUCGCAAGAUUAAAACUCAAAGGAAUUGACGGGGACCCGCACAAGCGGUGGAUGAUGUGGAUUAAUUCGAAGCAACGCGCAGAACCUUACC